CACCCCAUUUCUCUGUGUUUUAAGCACAUUGACCUGUUCCACCCUCUUCCCGCUCCUUAUUUUACACUGACCUGACACUGGUGGCUUCCAGCAGCUCACUUUGACAAGGAAGCCUUUCUGCUCUAUGGUCUCUGGAUCACCUUCCAGGGUGGGCUUGGAGGCCACUCUGGCAAGCACACCACAGCUGCACCAUGGGCCCACCUCAGAUCCAAGUUCUUCACCACGUUCCUGGCUGCUGGCCCUCGAGCUGACUGUCCCGGCCCACAGGUGGUAUUGCCCUCCUUCGUGAGGACUUGAACUGACUCCCGGCUGCCCCUUGGCUGUUCUCUGUCCCCAGCACGCUCAGUUCCUGCUUCUGUGCGUGGUCAGAGUGUCUGCUGGGGUCUGCACUCCAGGGUGCCUCUGCCCUCUGGCUUCACUCCCCAGCCAGGUAGUCACACCCAUGGCCCCUUUAUGAGGUCAGCCCACACCCUCUGAUGCUGCUCAAGUGAAGGACGCCUCUGGCCACCAGCCCUCCGAAGGCCAUGGGCUCACCAAGGGCUGCCAGUUUGCAGAAGUCCCUCACCUUGUCCCACACCCGCUGACUUUCUAAACUUCUGUCCUGUGGACUGUGCUGGGUACAUGUGACAACACCUCAAUGGCCACGUCUUUCAGAGCCCCAUUAUGCGAUGUCAUGACCCUAGAAGCAGAAGGAGCCAUCAAAGAACCAGGCUAAAGGACUUCGGGACCAAAAGGCCUUCGGGAAUGCACCUGGCCAGGAGCUAAGGGGCCACCAGCUGACAAGAGUUGCCAUCAGCCAUGCCAGGUGGAAAGUGUCAGCUGGCAAUGGCCAUGCCGGCCUAAGCUAUCUCUGUGGAGUGAACAAUGUAGCUCAGAAGAGCCAGCACAGAUCCCUCCCACCUGCCAGCCCUGUCUUCCCCCAUCUUGACGCAUGUCCCAGAGCACAAGUGUCCGUGGGAGGCUGCACCACACAGAGCCGAGAGAUGCCUGCAUCCUCCACUGAGCAUUCCACAGGGGAAGGAGUCUGGUAAAAGGAAAAGGACGGAGGUAGUGUUUGUUGAGCACUGUGGUGGGUGUGGACCCACAAGCCUGCAGGAGAACCAGAACUCUCAUGGGCUUCCUCAGGGCUGGGGUGGGGCCUCUUAGAGCUCCCAGGGCCUGUGCAUGGGCCCCUGUGGCAUAGGGACAGGAGGCAGCCCUCCUCUCCUCUUAGCAUAACUCCUCCUCCCUGCCAAUGUUCACAUCUCCAAACACAUUCUGUCUAAGGUGGGGUUAUCAGGACCACAGGCGCUGGUUGCUCCAGGAACUAUUGCCUCAUAGAAAGCAUUUUACUUUGCUCAUGUCUCAGGAUAAUCAGGAUUUUAGGAAAGGACCCAGUUAGGAAGGUCCCAGGAGGUGCAGGCCGGGGAGUGGCUGGGACCGCCAUCAUCUACACCAUGACUGGGCUCCCUGAUAAUGAGGAGGAGAUUUUACAAUGUAUUUAUUUAGAGGUAAUUCACACACUGUAGGAUUCACCCAUUUAAGCAUAUAAGUCAAUGACUUUAGCAUAUUCACAGAAUUUUAUAUCCAAACCACAAUCAAUUUUACAAUGUUUUGUUACCCUAAAAGAAACCUUAAACUUUUAGCCUUUAUAUGCCAAUUUCUCCAUCCCCUUUCAGCCCUAGGGGGCCACUGAUGUGCUUUCUCCACAGAUGUACCUCUUCUGGGCAUUGCAUGUAAACGGAAUCGCUGUGUGUAUGUGUCUGGUUCCUCUCACUUAGCAUGUUUCCAAGGUUCUUCCAGGCUGCAGCCUGUAUCACUACUUCAUUUAUUUUUAUUACAAAUCAUAACCUGUUGUAUGGAUAUACCAUAUUUUAUGUAUCCACUCAUUAAUUAAUGAGAAGCAGGGUUAUUUUGGCUAUUGUUUUGGCUUUUUGGCUGUUUUUGAUAAAAUACUGUUAUGAUCAUUCCUGUUCAGACUUUCAUGUGGACCUAUGUUUUUCUAUCUCUUAGGCAUAUACCUAAAAGUAGAAUUAUUGGGUCAUAUAAUAACUGUAUGUUUAACUUUUUGAGAAACUGCCAGAUGGUUUUCCAAAAGUAGUUGCACCAUUUUGCAUUCCCAUCAGCAGUGUAUGAGGGUUCUACUUGCUCUAUAUCCUUGCCAACACUUGUUACCUGUCUUUUUUAUUAUAGCCAUGCUAGUGGGUGUGGAGUGAGACAAGUGGUAAGAAUUUGACAAAUGUGACACCUGGAAAUUUUAAUUUUCAUAAUAUCAAAGGGCUCUUAUGAUAAUAAUUUUUUUUUUUUUUUGAGACAGAGUUUUGCUCUUGUUGCCCAGGCUGGAGUACAAUGGCAUGAUCUCAGCUCACUGCAACCUGUGUCUCCAGGUUCAAGCGAUUCUUCUGCCUCAGCCUCCUGAGUAGCUGGGAUUAUAGGCAUGCGCCACCAUGCCUGGCUAAUUUUGUAUUUUUAGUAGGGACAGGGUUUCUCCGUUUUUAUCAGGCUAGUCUCGAACUCCUGACUUCAGGUUAUCCGCCCUCCUCGGCCUCCCAAAGUGCUGGGAUUACAGGCGUGAGCCACCUUGCCCAGCAAGAAAAUUUUUUAAAAAGACAAACAAUCCAAUAGAAAAUCUGGGGAAAAGUCAUGUACACAAAUCACAGGAAAAUAAAUAUAAAUGUCUCUG
This 2662-nucleotide long non-coding RNA is filed under the name Rhinopithecus bieti (black snub-nosed monkey). Its description in RNAcentral is "lncRNA (ENSRBIG00000046463.1)". Lineage: Eukaryota; Metazoa; Chordata; Mammalia; Primates; Cercopithecidae. The record is from RNAcentral.